Molecule: ribosomal RNA, 506 nt
Filed under: uncultured bacterium
Lineage: Bacteria
Description: partial 16S ribosomal RNA
Rfam family: Bacterial small subunit ribosomal RNA
Source: RNAcentral
GAUGAACGCUAGCUACAGGCUUAACACAUGCAAGUCGAGGGGUAACAAGAGGAAAGCUUGCUUUUCUUGUUGACGACCGGCGCACGGGUGAGUAACGCGUAUCCAACCUGCCUAUAACUAGGGAAUAGCCUUGCGAAAGUAAGACUAAUACCCUAUGAUUUCCUUUGAUGACAUCAGAUUAGGAAUAAAGAUUUAUCGGUUAUAGGUGGGGAUGCGUCUGAUUAGCUUGUUGGCGGGGUAACGGCCCACCAAGGCAACGAGCAGUAGGGGUUCUGAGAGGAAGGUCCCCCACAUUGGAACUGAGACACGGUCCAAACUCCUACGGGAGGCAGCAGUGAGGAAUAUUGGUCAAUGGGCGGAAGCCUGAACCAGCCAUGUAGCGUGCAGGAUGACGGCCCUAUGGGUUGUAAACUGCUUUUAUACAGGAAUAAAGUUAGCCACGUGUGGUUAUUUGUAGGUACUGUAUGAAUAAGGACCGGCUAAUUCCGUGCCAGCCGCCGCAGUAA